UGUGCACAAUGGCAGCGCUAGGAGUAGAGGUCACUGGUGGCCGAUGAACUCACAAGCGUAGGUAGUGUGCUACAUGAGUGUUGGCAAGCUCUUAGCUGCUAACACUCCAUUCUGGCCCAGCGAGAGGAGCUUGAAAGUAACCCCUGCUAUAAGU
This 154-nucleotide small nucleolar RNA is filed under the name Castor canadensis (American beaver). The record is from RNAcentral. Lineage: Eukaryota; Metazoa; Chordata; Mammalia; Rodentia; Castoridae.